This 502-nucleotide ribosomal RNA is filed under the name uncultured bacterium. RNAcentral describes it as "partial 16S ribosomal RNA". It matches the Rfam family "Bacterial small subunit ribosomal RNA", at positions 28 to 523 of the family's 1533-position model. The record is from RNAcentral.
GAUGAACGCUAGCGACAGGCUUAACACAUGCAAGUCGAGGGGCAGCAUAGAAGUAGCAAUACUUUGGUGGCGACCGGCGCACGGGUGAGUAACGCGUAUGCAACCUACCUAUCAGAGGGGAAUAACCCGGCGAAAGCCGGACUAAUACCGCAUAAAACAGGGGCACCGCAUGGUGAUAUUUGUUAAAGAAAUUCGCUGAUAGAUGGGCAUGCGUUCCAUUAGGUAGUUGGUGAGGUAACGGCUCACCAAGCCGACGAUGGAUAGGGGAACUGAGAGGUUGGUCCCCAAACUGGUACUGAGACACGGACCAGACUCCUACGGGAGGCAGCAGUGAGGAAUAUUGGUCAAUGGGCGGGAGCCUGAACCAGCCAAGUCGCGUGAAGGAAGAAGGAUCUAUGGUUCGUAAACUUCUUUUGCAGGGGAAUAAAGUGCGGGACGUGUCCUGUUUUGUAUGUACCCUGAGAAUAAGGAUCGGCUAGCUCCGUGCCAGCCGCCGCCGUAA